Molecule: long non-coding RNA, 2201 nt
Organism: Oncorhynchus tshawytscha (Chinook salmon)
Lineage: Eukaryota; Metazoa; Chordata; Actinopteri; Salmoniformes; Salmonidae
Source: Ensembl
CCAGACUCAUUACCCCCCCCCCCUUGCCAUCCCUCCCCACCCCACCACAUACACACAAACCGUUUUUACCAGUUGGACCCAACCCAUCUUCCCCCAUUUCAAGAUCUCACUGUUUCUACCACACAACAUUACAUGGACACUAUUUUUAAGGGAAAGGUUUUUUUCUGGGAAUGACAAGAGGGCCUCCAGUUUUCGGAUGUUUUUAUUUCUUUUCGCCCAAGCGCACACACACGGACAUGGCGAAGUGAUACGGAGGAACGGCUCAGCGUGGCUUUGGCUUUUACCGGAACUCCUUUUCUUAAUGCUCUUCUUUUCUACACAUUUAUCAAGGGUUUUAUACAUCCCCCUGAUCCUCCUCUUCUUAUGGAGGAGUUGAGAGGAACACUUGAUUUGAAAAAGAGAAGAUUGUCCAGGAUUUUCCAGAGGAAAGUUGAAAGUGGAUUAUUUGAUUGUUUAUCUACCAGCAGCUUCAGUCUCUGCUCCCCAUUUUAACGUAAUCAUCUGUUUCUAAUGUUUAAUAAAGCAUCAUGUGUGAACUCUGUGUUAUCUGCUGGACGAGGCUACUGCUCCAGCCACUACUACCAGAUCCUCCCAGUGCAGAACAACUGACACAGAUGUAUAGUUUGGCAAACAUAUUUUGAGAUUUGGAUUUGCUCACCAUAAUCCACACUCGAAGUGCAAAUGAGCAUGUAAUUGUUGUGAAAGGUUUGGUUGUAACAUGGUGGACAGUUUGCUGAACUCUGUGUAUCUAUGUCUCUGGUCCAGACCCCCUGACUGGCUGAGAAGCCCAGCACUGUGUGAUCCACUAUGGCCCUCAAAUUCAACAACUCAAACCCCCCACCCCCAUUCUUAUCCCUCUAAACAGGGACUGAUUUAGACCUGGGACAUCAGGUGUGUGCAAUUACUUAAAAGGUACAACAGAAAAGUAGGCUCUGGACCUCGUAGGGUAAGAGUUGAAUACCCCUGCACUAAGGGUCAUCAUCAUCUAGGUCAGUGCUUGAACUUCUGUUUUUCAUCCUCUCCUAAUCAGGGACUGAUUCAGACCUGGGACACCAGGUGAGUGCAAUUAAACACCAGGUAGAAACAAAAGACACAAAAGGGUUUUGGCCCGCCAGGACCAGAAUUGAACCGUUUCAUCUAAGGCUGUCAUCCAUAGGUGCGUUGAUCCCUGUGGUGUGUCUCUCUUAAAGGGAAUGACUAAGUCUUUAACAACCGCCUUAAGCUCUCCCUGACUCAAUGAGAGACUGGUAAGUGCCUUAACUUGGAGACACACACACACACUCAGUGUCCACAGGUUAAACGCAGAGAAUAUGAAGACACAUUUCUAUGAAACUUUAUAAUAGGUUUUGUGAAACACAUUCAAUGUAAACCUGCCCAGAUAGCCAGGACUGAUCUACUGUGGAUGCCGUCUUUUGGCUGUGGGGAGUUUAGUGGGAGUGCUACUGUAUGUGGUGCUUGAGGUGAAGGGAUGAAAUAGAUGCUGGGACUCAUUUUUGUUCCUGGAAAUGAUUCUAUUUAAGAGCUGGAACACCGCAAUUCUUUAAAGUGAUUAUAUAUGUAUAUAAAUAUGAGUGCUGCUACUCAACCAGUAGAACAUUUUAGUUGAUGGUACUCAGUACCAGUGUAUACCGACACUGACCGUAUGGGGGCUGCAGUGAUCUGUACUGCGCUGAGGGGCCUAUCAGUCUGGUACUAUCAUACAUCACUUCAAGACUAUCAAUAUUAAAUGGAGACCCUUUUCUUGGUCUUUUUGCCACUUGUAAUAUGUUUUCUAUUGACGAAAUAUCUACAGCAGAGCUCUCCAACCCUGUUCUUGAAGAGCUACAGUCCUGUAGGUUUUCACUCCAACCAUAAUUUAGCUCACCUGAUUCUAAUAGUUAGCAUGUUGAUAAGCUGAAUCAGGUUAGUUACAACUGGGGUUGGAUUGAAAACCUACAGGAAGGUAACUCUCCAGGAACAGGGUUGGCGAGCCCUGGUCUACAGUAUAGAGGGAAUUGAAGGAAUAUGUAAGGAAACAGAAUGAUACGGUUGUUGCUCCCUGCCUAUAGGUUGUGCCAAACGUAUUUUCAUGUUCACACACAGAGAUACAGACACUGCAACCGAGUGAUUCUCACUGUUUCACAGCUUCUGUACUUUUGACAAAGUUUCUCAUGUGAGUUGAAUUUUACAAUGACAACCAAUAAACCAAGUAUUGACCUAUG